GGGCGUAAGGGCUCCAGGCGGUUUCUUAAGUCUGAUGUGAAAGCCCCCGGCUCAACCGGGGAGGGUCAUUGGAAACUGGGGAACUUGAGUGCAGAAGAGGAGAGUGGAAUUCCACGUGUAGCGGUGAAAUGCGUAGAGAUGUGGAGGAACACCAGUGGCGAAGGCGACUCUCUGGUCUGUAACUGACGCUGAGGAGCGAAAGCGUGGGGAGCGAACAGGAUUAGAUACCCUGGUAGUCCACGCCGUAAACGAUGAGUGCUAAGUGUUAGGGGGUUUCCGCCCCUUAGUGCUGCAGCUAACGCAUUAAGCACUCCGCCUGGGGAGUACGGUCGCAAGACUGAAACUCAAAGGAAUUGACGGGGGCCCGCACAAGCGGUGGAGCAUGUGGUUUAAUUCGAAGCAACGCGAAGAACCUUACCAGGUCUUGACAUCCUCUGACAAUCCUAGAGAUAGGACGUCCCCUUCGGGGGCAGAGUGACAGGUGGUGCAUGGUUGUCGUCAGCUCGUGU
This 509-nucleotide ribosomal RNA is filed under the name Bacillus subtilis. RNAcentral describes it as "bacterial SSU rRNA". It matches the Rfam family "Bacterial small subunit ribosomal RNA", at positions 556 to 1065 of the family's 1533-position model. Lineage: Bacteria; Bacillati; Bacillota; Bacilli; Caryophanales; Bacillaceae. The record is from RNAcentral.